Molecule: ribosomal RNA, 441 nt
Filed under: uncultured bacterium
Lineage: Bacteria
Description: partial 16S ribosomal RNA
Rfam family: Bacterial small subunit ribosomal RNA
Source: RNAcentral
CCUACGGGAGGCAGCAGUGGGGGAUAUUGCUCAAUGGGGGAAACCCUGAUGCAGCGACGCCGCGUGGGUGAAGAAGUAUUUCGGUAUGUAAAGCCCUAUCAGCAGGGAAGAAAGAAGACGGUACCUGACUCAGAAGCCCCGGCUAACUACGUACCAGCAGCCGCGGUAAUACGUAGGGGGCGAGCGUUAUCCGGAUUCACUGGGUGUAAAGGGAGCGUAGACGGCCGUGCAAGCCAGGAGUGAAAGCCCGGGGGCCAACCCCGGGACUGCUCUUGGAACUGUGCGGCUGGAGUGCGGGAGGGGCAGGCGGAAUUCCUGGUGUAGCGGUGAAAUGCGUAGAUAUCAGGAGGAACACCGGCGGCGAAGGCGGCCUGCUGGACCGCGACUGACGUUGAGGCUCGAAAGCGUGGGGAGCGAACAGGAUUAGAUACCCUUGUAGUC